GUAUAAGAGACAGCAGUAGCCGCGGUAAUACGGAGGAUCCAAGCGUUAUCCGGAAUCAUUGGGUUUAAAGGGUCCGUAGGCGGUCUUGUAAGUCAGUGGUGAAAGCCCAUCGCUCAACGGUGGAACGGCCAUUGAUACUGCAGGACUUGAAUUAUUGGGAAGUAACUAGAAUAUGUAGUGUAGCGGUGAAAUGCUUAGAGAUUACAUGGAAUACCAAUUGCGAAGGCAGGUUACUACCAAUUGAUUGACGCUGAUGGACGAAAGCGUGGGUAGCGAACAGGAUUAGAUACCCGAGUAGUCCCUGUCUCUUAUAA
This 314-nucleotide ribosomal RNA is filed under the name uncultured bacterium. RNAcentral describes it as "partial 16S ribosomal RNA". It matches the Rfam family "Bacterial small subunit ribosomal RNA", at positions 495 to 809 of the family's 1533-position model. The record is from RNAcentral.